Molecule: ribosomal RNA, 349 nt
Filed under: uncultured Pseudomonadota bacterium
Lineage: Bacteria; Pseudomonadati; Pseudomonadota
Description: bacterial SSU rRNA
Rfam family: Bacterial small subunit ribosomal RNA
Source: RNAcentral
AUUGAACGCUGGCGGCAGGCCUAACACAUGCAAGUCGAGCGGUAACAGAUCUAGCUUGCUAGAUGCUGACGAGCGGCGGACGGGUGAGUAAUGCAUAGGAAUCUGCCCUGUAGUGGGGGAUAACCUGGGGAAACCCAGGCUAAUACCGCAUACGUCCUACGGGAGAAAGGGGGCUUCGGCUCCCGCUACGGGAUGAGCCUAUGUCGGAUUAGCUAGUUGGUGAGGUAAAGGCUCACCAAGGCGACGAUCCGUAGCUGGUCUGAGAGGAUGAUCAGCCACAUCGGGACUGAGACACGGCCCGAACUCCUACGGGAGGCUGCCUGAGACGCCAAGGCACACAGGGGAUAGG